UACAGAGGGUGCAAGCGUUAAUCGGAAUUACUGGGCGUAAAGCGCGCGUAGGCGGAUAUUUAAGUCGAGUGUGAAAUCCCCGGGCUCAACCUGGGAACUGCAUUCGAUACUGAAUGUCUAGAGUAUGAUAGAGGAGAGUGGAAUUCCCGGUGUAGCAGUGAAAUGCGUAGAUAUCGGGAGGAACACCAGUGGCGAAGGCGGCUUUCUGGAUCAAUACUGACGCUGAGGUGCGAAAGCGUGGGGAGCAAACAGG
RNAcentral lists this ribosomal RNA (253 nucleotides) under uncultured prokaryote. Its description in RNAcentral is "partial 16S ribosomal RNA". It matches the Rfam family "Bacterial small subunit ribosomal RNA", at positions 524 to 776 of the family's 1533-position model. The record is from RNAcentral.